This is a long non-coding RNA of Alosa alosa (allis shad), 449 nucleotides long. RefSeq lists it as uncharacterized. The transcript has 3 exons. NCBI's taxonomy places the organism in Eukaryota, Metazoa, Chordata, Actinopteri, Clupeiformes, Clupeidae. The record is from RefSeq and is a predicted model, not a curated record.
AUAUCUGUUUGUGAUUAUGCAUUGGGAAUUAAACAUAUCCAUUAUAACCUAUCAAAUGAAUAUGCUCUUAUUUAAGUCUUUUAUUUCUUUUUUUGAUCAGCAGAUCCAUGUGAAAUAAAGGCAAAAACUCUUCAGCACAAAUAAGGAUAAAGGGAUGUUGUCCAUGUGAUUUGUAGUUUCAGUUCACACCAUAGCCCCAUCAUGUGUACAUAUCUGGCACACAAUAUUGCUGUCUUCCAGAUGGUGUGAGCAGUGAGACUCAGGAGGCACGGAUGGAAAUGGAAGCGCGGGCACAGUUAGAUAAACAGCAACACUGCAGGGAAUCAGUCUCACCUGGCCACCUGAUGCACGGCUUCCUGGAAAUUACUCCACCCCACACCACACCACCGCCCUGCUCUAACUGAUCAAGAUGAAGGGAGGCCCGUCAGCAAUCCUCCACCCUCAUCCAU